RNAcentral lists this ribosomal RNA (488 nucleotides) under Escherichia coli. RNAcentral's name for it is "partial 23S ribosomal RNA". It matches the Rfam family "Bacterial large subunit ribosomal RNA", at positions 374 to 867 of the family's 2925-position model. The record is from RNAcentral. Lineage: Bacteria; Pseudomonadati; Pseudomonadota; Gammaproteobacteria; Enterobacterales; Enterobacteriaceae.
CGUACACAAAAAUGCACAUGCUGUGAGCUCGAUGAGUAGGGCGGGACACGUGGUAUCCUGUCUGAAUAUGGGGGGACCAUCCUCCAAGGCUAAAUACUCCUGACUGACCGAUAGUGAACCAGUACCGUGAGGGAAAGGCGAAAAGAACCCCGGCGAGGGGAGUGAAAAAGAACCUGAAACCGUGUACGUACAAGCAGUGGGAGCACGCUUAGGCGUGUGACUGCGUACCUUUUGUAUAAUGGGUCAGCGACUUAUAUUCUGUAGCAAGGUUAACCGAAUAGGGGAGCCGAAGGGAAACCGAGUCUUAACUGGGCGUUAAGUUGCAGGGUAUAGACCCGAAACCCGGUGAUCUAGCCAUGGGCAGGUUGAAGGUUGGGUAACACUAACUGGAGGACCGAACCGACUAAUGUUGAAAAAUUAGCGGAUGACUUGUGGCUGGGGGUGAAAGGCCAAUCAAACCGGGAGAUAGCUGGUUCUCCCCGAAAGCU